GUAGGGAAUAUUGGGCAAUGGAGGCAACUCUGACCCAGCCAUGCCGCGUGCAGGAAGACGGCCCUCUGGGUUGUAAACUGCUUUUAUCUGGGAAGAAAAAGGCCAUGCGUGGCAAAUUGCCGGUACCAGAUGAAUAAGCACCGGCUAACUCCGUGCCAGCAGCCGCGGUAAUACGGAGGGUGCGAGCGUUGUCCGGAUUUAUUGGGUUUAAAGGGUGCGUAGGCGGCUGAUUAAGUCAGCGGUGAAAGACUUCGGCUUAACCGGAGCAGUGCCGUUGAUACUGGUUGGCUUGAGUGUCGGAGGGGUACAUGGAAUUGAUGGUGUAGCGGUGAAAUGCAUAGAUACCAUCAGGAACACCGAUAGCGAAGGCAUUGUACUGGCCGACAACUGACGCUGAUGCACGAAAGUGUGGGGAUCGAACAGGAUUAGAAACCCGAGUAGUCC
RNAcentral lists this ribosomal RNA (444 nucleotides) under uncultured bacterium. Its description in RNAcentral is "bacterial SSU rRNA". It matches the Rfam family "Bacterial small subunit ribosomal RNA", at positions 354 to 796 of the family's 1533-position model. The record is from RNAcentral.